UCGGGUUGUAAACUGCUUUUGUACGGAACGAAAAGGACCUUUCUAAUACAGAGGGCUCAUGACGGUACCGUAAGAAUAAGCACCGGCUAACUACGUGCCAGCAGCCGCGGUAAUACGUAGGGUGCAAGCGUUAAUCGGAAUUACUGGGCGUAAAGCGUGCGCAGGCGGUGAUGUAAGACAGGUGUGAAAUCCCCGGGCUUAACCUGGGAACUGCAUUUGUGACUGCAUCGCUGGAGUGCGGCAGAGGGGGAUGGAAUUCCGCGUGUAGCAGUGAAAUGCGUAGAUAUGCGGAGGAACACCGAUGGCGAAGGCAAUCCCCUGGGCCUGCACUGACGCUCAUGCACGAAAGCGUGGGGAGCAAACAGGAUUAGAUACCCUGGUAGUCCACGCCCUAAACGAUGUCAACUGGUUGUUGGGUCUUCACUGACUCAGUAACGAAGCUAACGCGUGAAGUUGACCGCCUGGGGAGUACGGCCGCAAGGUUG
This 485-nucleotide ribosomal RNA is filed under the name uncultured Pseudomonadota bacterium. Its description in RNAcentral is "bacterial SSU rRNA". It matches the Rfam family "Bacterial small subunit ribosomal RNA", at positions 418 to 896 of the family's 1533-position model. The record is from RNAcentral. Lineage: Bacteria; Pseudomonadati; Pseudomonadota.